This 460-nucleotide ribosomal RNA is filed under the name uncultured bacterium. RNAcentral describes it as "partial 16S ribosomal RNA". It matches the Rfam family "Bacterial small subunit ribosomal RNA", at positions 338 to 795 of the family's 1533-position model. The record is from RNAcentral.
CCUACGGGGGGCAGCAGUGAGGAAUAUUGGUCAAUGGACGAGAGUCUGAACCAGCCAAGUAGCGUGAAGGAUGACUGCCCUAUGGGUUGUAAACUUCUUUUAUAUGGGAAUAAAAUGUUCCACGUGUGGGAUUUUGUAUGUACCAUAUGAAUAAGGAUCGGCUAACUCCGUGCCAGCAGCCGCGGUAAUACGGAGGAUCCGAGCGUUAUCCGGAUUUAUUGGGUUUAAAGGGGGCGUAGGUGGAUUGUUAAGUCAGUUGUGAAAGUUUGCGGCUCAACCGUAAAAUUGCAGUUGAAACUGGCAGUCUUGAGUACAGUAGAGGUGUGCGGAAUUCGUGGUGUAGCGGUGAAAUGCUUAGAUAUCACGAAGAACUCCGAUUGCGAAGGCAGUUCACUGGACUGCAACUGACACUGAGGCUCGAAAGUGUGGGUAUCAAACAGGAUUAGAUACCCGGGUAGUC